This is a non-coding RNA of Trichomonas vaginalis G3, 787 nucleotides long. NCBI's taxonomy places the organism in Eukaryota, Parabasalia, Trichomonadida, Trichomonadidae. The record is from Rfam.
GGGUAGACUAGGUGGGAGAGCAAUCGAUUUUGAAAAACCCCUUCCCCUGUUGGAAUUAUGGUUACCUAUCACAAGGAAUAGGACUAGAUAGAAAGUUUGGCUGGGGCGGCACACUUUCGAAAGAGCAGCGAAGGUGUCCUAAGUUGAGCUCAGUGAGGACAGAAUUCUCACGUUGAGGAUAAGGCCAAAAGCUCAAUUUACUGUGCCUUUUUGUACUAGGAUCAGUUACGAAAGUAAGGCCUAACGAUCCCUAAAUAGCCUCAGGUGCGUGAGGAUUGGGGUGACAGACAAGUUACCUCCGGGACAACUGGCUUGUGGCUGCUAAGAGAUCAAAUCAACGCAGCUUUUUGAUUCUUCGAUGUCGGCUCUUCCUAUCCUAGUGAUGUACAAGUUGCUAAGGGUCGGAUUGUUCACCCGUAUUAGGGAUCGUGAGCUGGGUUUAGACCGUCGUGAGCCAGGUUUGUUUUAUCCUACUGGAUAUAGCAUCAUGAUAGUAGAUUGAUUUAGUACGAGAGGAACUGUUGAUUAUGGCCUCUGGUUAGCGAUUAUCGGAAACGGUAUGUCGCGCAGCUACGCCGUCUGGGAUAAUGGCUGAAAGCCUCUUAAGCCAGAAGCCCAUCUAGAAAGUGAUGCACGUGAUGUUGGACCGAUACGAAUAAUCAUACUCAAAAGGUCCGCUUCAUAGGUAACCCAAUGUAGAAGACAUUGUGUGAACGAAGGUACUGUAAGCAGUGGAGUGGCAUUACGUCCACGACCUGUUGAGGUUCAGCUUCGCUUCUAGGUUUCC